ACUCAAAUGAAUAGACGGGGGCCCGCACAAGCGGAGGAACAUGUGGUUUAAUUCGAUGAUACGCGAGGAACCUUACCCGGGCUUGAAAUGGAGAGGAAUGAUUGUGAAAGCAGUCAGUUCGCAAGAACCUCUUUGUAGGUGCUGCAUGGUUGUCGUCAGCUCGUGCCGUGAGGUGUCGGCUUAAGUGCCAUAACGAGCGCAACCCUUAUUGUUAGUUACUAACAGGUUAAGCUGAGGACUCUAACGAGACUGCCACCGUAAGGUGUGAGGAAGGUGGGGAUGACGUCAAAUCAGCACGGCCCUUACGUCCGGGGCGACACACGUGUUACAAUGGGUGGUACAGAUGGUAGCAACCUGGCGACAGGAAGCCAAUCUUAAAAAGCCACUCUCAGUUCGGAUCGGAGUCUGCAACUCGACUCCGUGAAGCUGGAUUCGCUAGUAAUCGCGCAUCAGCCAUGGCGCGGUGAAUACGUUCCCGGGCCUUGUACACACCGCCCGU
RNAcentral lists this ribosomal RNA (499 nucleotides) under uncultured bacterium. RNAcentral's name for it is "bacterial SSU rRNA". It matches the Rfam family "Bacterial small subunit ribosomal RNA", at positions 899 to 1397 of the family's 1533-position model. The record is from RNAcentral.